GACGAACGCUGGCGGCGUGCUUAACACAUGCAAGUCGAACGGUAAGGCCCUUCGGGGUACACGAGUGGCGAACGGGUGAGUAACACGUGGGUGAUCUGCCCUGCACUUCGGGAUAAGCCUGGGAAACUGGGUCUAAUACCGGAUAGGACCCUGGGAUGCAUGUCCUGGGGUGGAAAGCUUUUGCGGUGUGGGAUGGGCCCGCGGCCUAUCAGCUUGGUGGUGGGGUGAUGGCCUACCAAGGCGACGACGGGUAGCCGGCCUGAGAGGGUGACCGGCCACACUGGGACUGAGAGACGGCCCAGACGCCUACGGGAUGCAGCAGUGGUGAAUAUUGCACAAUGGGCGCAAGCCUGAGGCAGCGACGCCGCGUGAGGGAUGACGGCCUUCGGGUUGUAAACCUCUUUCAGCACCGACGAAGCGCAAGUGACGGUAGGUGCAGAAGAAGGACCGGCCAACUACGUGCCAGCCGCCGCAGUAA
RNAcentral lists this ribosomal RNA (478 nucleotides) under uncultured bacterium. RNAcentral's name for it is "partial 16S ribosomal RNA". It matches the Rfam family "Bacterial small subunit ribosomal RNA", at positions 28 to 523 of the family's 1533-position model. The record is from RNAcentral.